UAAAUUUUUUUAUUUUAAAAUUUGAAAUCUUAUCCCAAAACCUCACUUCUCAACUCUAAACCCUAAAACCUAAACUCUAAACCCUAAACCCUAAAUUCUAAACUCUAUAUCCCACCCCUUGAGUGCUAUUUUUGUGACUUUUGGCUUUGAGUGCUAGUUUGGGAACAAAAACUUGAUUUAGUGUUAUUUUGGUCUUUUUCUCAUUAUUUAUUUGGGAUGAGUUCUUAAAAAUGAUUGCGUUUAUCUGUUACUCUCUCUUUUUAUGAAAACAGAAGUUUUGAGAUAUUUAUUCAUUUUACAAAUAUAUAAGUUUUUGUAUUUUCAGUGUAAUUUUUAAUUAUUUUUAUCCAUAUAAAUUAAGACAAUUACUAUUGAAACAAGGUUUACUCUUUUGAAGUUAAGUUACUAAAAAAAUUUCUUUUGACAUUGUAAAAUUAUUUUGUGAGGUGGGUGAAAAUUUCAAAACUUCUACUUUUGUGGAAAGAGGGAGUAGUUAAAUUGAUAAAAACUAAUGAUUUAAAUUGAUAUAUUUGUCGGUUAGAGCACCAUUAUCGGGGGCUCUUAAUAGGGUUUUCAGCUUAAUUAAAAAUAAAAAGAAAAUGAAAAAUAGCAACUAACACAAGGGACGUCUCUUAAUUAGGCAACAGAAGAGACGGUUUUUGAGCCACGCGUCGCGGUGAAAUCGUUUUGGGAGGAGACUUCGGUGGGAGAAAAAAUCAGUCUCAAAUCAUCUUCUACUACGUUUGUCUGAGCCUUUCGGUGUCACGGUGAAAUCGUCGUCGUUUGUCUGAGCCUUUCACGUUCGUCAAAACUCCAAACCUAGAAGGAGAGCCGCUCUCGCUCUCGCCGUUAAAGUCGGAGGUCCAAGAUGGGCUAGUGUUAAUUUAGGUAUCUUUAUCUGUAUGCAAUGUUCUGGGAUCCACAGGAGUCUCGGCGUACGCUUAGAUAGAAAGAAAGAAAGAAGUGCCCUGAGCUUGAAGAAAACGUUUCAGACCAAGAACUACCGGUUAGUUCAAUAUCAUUGAUCAAUUGAAGUUUUUUGAUUGUGCAUUAUGGUAAAGUUUGUUGUAAUGAAAGUGUUUUAUAUUUUUUUUUAAAGAACCCAUAGUUAAGAGACUUGCAAUAAACCACUUAAAUGUUUAAAUCUCUUUCUAAGUCUUUUAACUCA
Brassica rapa (field mustard) is the source of this 1168-nucleotide long non-coding RNA. RefSeq lists it as uncharacterized. Lineage: Eukaryota; Viridiplantae; Streptophyta; Magnoliopsida; Brassicales; Brassicaceae. The record is from RefSeq and is a predicted model, not a curated record.